Molecule: small nuclear RNA, 105 nt
Filed under: Amborella trichopoda
Lineage: Eukaryota; Viridiplantae; Streptophyta; Magnoliopsida; Amborellales; Amborellaceae
Source: RNAcentral
GCCUAAGCAGAGACAUCCAACAAAAUUGGGACACUACAAAGAAGAUUUAGCAUGGCACCUGCAUAAGGGUGAAAAUACACGAAUUGAGAAAUGGAUAAUAUAUGU